Molecule: ribosomal RNA, 813 nt
Filed under: uncultured marine euryarchaeote
Lineage: Archaea; Methanobacteriati; Methanobacteriota
Description: bacterial SSU rRNA
Rfam family: Archaeal small subunit ribosomal RNA
Source: RNAcentral
UCGGCAUACUGCUCAGUAACACGUGGAUAACCUGCCCUAUCGUCUGGAAUAACCUCGGGAAACUGAGAAUAAGGCCGGAUAGUUCACAAUGCCUGGAACGGUUUGUGAAUCAAGGUAGGAUGGGUCUGCGGCGUAUCAGGUUGUAGGGGGUGUAAAGGACCCCCUAGCCUUCGACGCGUACGGGUGUUGGGAGACAUAGCCCGGAGAUGGAUUCUGAGACACGAAUCCAGACCCUACGGGGUGCAGCAGGCGCGAAAACUUCACACUGCAGGAAACUGUGAUGAGGGAACUCCUAGUGCAUGCACUAUGUGUAUGUAGAUCCUACUCUUAACAAGUAGAGGGAAAGGGCUGGGAAAGACCGGUGCCAGCCGCCGCGGUAAUACCGGCAGCUCAAGUGGUCGUCGCUUUUAUUGGGCCUAAAACGUCCGUAGCCUGUUUGGUAAAUCUGUGGGUAAAUCAAUCCGCUCAACGGGUUGAAUUCUGCAGAGACUGCCAGACUAGGGACCGGGAGAGGUGUGGGGUACUCGAGGGGUAGGGGUAAAAUCCUGUCAUCCUUCGAGGACCACCAGUUGCGAAGGCGCCACACUGGAACGGAUCCGACGGUCAGGGACGAAGCCUAGGGGCACGAACCGGAUUAGAUACCCGGGUAGUCCUAGGUGUAAACGCUGUGAACCUGGUGUCGGGGGUCCGCAAGGGGUCCCCGGUGCCGGAGUGAAGAUGUUAAGUUCACUGCCUGGGGAGUACGGUCGCAAGGCUGAAACUUAAAGGAAUUGGCGGGGGAGCACUGCAACGAGAGGAGCGUGCGGUUUAAUU